RNAcentral lists this long non-coding RNA (843 nucleotides) under Ananas comosus (pineapple). RNAcentral's name for it is "long non-coding RNA (ACOM_LNC007055)". Lineage: Eukaryota; Viridiplantae; Streptophyta; Magnoliopsida; Poales; Bromeliaceae. The record is from RNAcentral.
ACCGAAUGCUCUAUCUUUCUAACCCCCACCUCUCAAUUAAUGUAUUUAUAUAGUCCCAUCUUCGCCUAAUGCUUCAUCUUCUUAACCCCUACCUCUCAAUUAAUGUGUUUACAUCAUCCCAUCUCUACCCAAUUCUUCAUCUUCCUAACUCCCAUUUCUCAAUUAAUGUGUUUACAUGGUUUCAUCUCCAUCCAAUGCUUCAUCUACUUAACUUCUACCUCUCAAUUGCUUUCACAAGAACAAAUAAGUAAAAUAAAGUUUCUUCAUACUUUUUUUUCAUAUUAUUUUUUUUUCUUUUUUUCUUGGCGCACAAAAAGGGCUCUUAUUUUGUAACUUUAUUAAUUUUUUUUUUUUAGUUGUGUGUGGAUUGAAAUUAGGAUUUCAAGGAUCGCGACAGGGUGCGACAGGAGAAAACGGUGAUGGAUUUGGAGUCGGUGAGGGGGAAGAAGCAGUGGAUAUGGAAGAAUCUAUACGGGAUUGACAUGGUCGUGACUAAAGGGGAGCUCGACACUAGUGGCGAAGGCGAUGUAAAGAUCGAAAUUUGCCUCCCCGAUGUCGAUAAUGCGAUAAAGGUGUGUAUGGGGUAAAAUUUUUUUUAUUACUUCUUUCAUUAUCGUUAUGUGUAAUUUAUUUACCAAAAUUAUAAAUUUUGCUAUAUCCUAGGCGUCACGGAUACUAACACGGGACACAAGAUACGACAUGACUCGGACACCACGACUCGACAACUUUCAAAAAAUUAGGACACGAAUACGGCAUAAAUACCGCUAAUAAAAUAUAAUAUUAUUAAUAUAAUAAUAUAUUUUUAUUAUAUAUAAAAUAUUAAUUUUGGAAAAUUAUUGUUAC